UACGGAGGAUCCGAGCGUUAUCCGGAUUUAUUGGGUUUAAAGGGAGCGUAGGCGGGUUGUUAAGUCAGUUGUGAAAGUUUGCGGCUCAACCGUAAAAUUGCAGUUGAUACUGGCAUCCUUGAGUACAGUAGAGGUAGGCGGAAUUCGUGGUGUAGCGGUGAAAUGCUUAGAUAUCACGAAGAACUCCGAUUGCAAAGGCAGCCUGCUGGACUGUAACUGACGCUGAUGCUCGAAAGUGUGGGUAUCAAACAGG
RNAcentral lists this ribosomal RNA (253 nucleotides) under uncultured bacterium. RNAcentral describes it as "partial 16S ribosomal RNA". It matches the Rfam family "Bacterial small subunit ribosomal RNA", at positions 524 to 776 of the family's 1533-position model. The record is from RNAcentral.